UACGUAGGGGGCAAGCGUUGUCCGGAAUCAUUGGGCGUAAAGCGCGUGUAGGCGGCCAGGUAAGUCCGUUCUGAAAGCCCGGGGCUCAACCCCGGGAGGCGGAUGGAUACUGCUUGGCUCGAGUCCGGAAGAGGCGAGUGGAAUUCCCGGUGUAGCGGUGAAAUGCGCAGAUAUCGGGAGGAACACCAAUGGCGAAGGCAGCUCGCUGGGACGGUACUGACGCUGAGACACGAAAGCCAGGGGAGCGAACGGG
RNAcentral lists this ribosomal RNA (253 nucleotides) under uncultured bacterium. Its description in RNAcentral is "partial 16S ribosomal RNA". It matches the Rfam family "Bacterial small subunit ribosomal RNA", at positions 524 to 776 of the family's 1533-position model. The record is from RNAcentral.